Monodelphis domestica (gray short-tailed opossum) is the source of this 2851-nucleotide long non-coding RNA. The record is from Ensembl. Lineage: Eukaryota; Metazoa; Chordata; Mammalia; Didelphimorphia; Didelphidae.
AUGUUUGUUGUUUUGUUUUUCUUGAUUGCCAGGUGGAACAAGGUCCUGUCUCUUUCUCUCUCUGUCUCUUUCUUUCUCUCUGUCUCUUUCUCUCUGUCUCUUUCUCUCUGUCUCUUUCUUUCUGUCUCUCUGUCUUUCGCUGUCUUUCUCUGUCUCUUUCUCUGUCUCUCUUUCUCUUUCCCUCUGUCUCUCUCUGUCUCUCGCUGUCUCUCUCUGUCUCUUUCUCUGUCUCUCUUUCUCUUUCCCCCUGUCUCUCUCUGUCUCUUUCUCUGUCUCUCUUUCUCUUUCCCCCUGUCUCUCUCUGUCUCUUUCUCUGCCUCUCGCUGUCUUUCUCGCUGUCUCUUUCUCUGUCUCUCUUUCUCUUUCCCCCUGUCUCUCUCUGUCUCUUUCUCUGUCUCUCUUUCUCUUUCCCUCUGUCUCUUUCUCUGUCCUCCCCUUCCCUUUCAACUCAUAUUCACCCUUUCCUUCGUUGUCUUUGUUGCCCCCAAGUCAAGCCAAGUCAGCAGGCUUUUAUUCAGCGCUAACCAUUUGCCAGGGACUGUUCAAACUCCGAGUAUAUGAAGGAAGGCAAAAAGACAACUUCCACUCUUAGGGAGCUAGUGGGGAAGACAGCAUGGCAAUGGCAUUGUGUGUGUGUGUAAUCCCUCGAGACAUUAUCUCCCCCAUCCCCAUAUUUGAAAUUGCUGCCAGCAUGGUAUUUACUCCAAAAAUCUGAUCACCAAGACUUUGCCUCCCAGGUUGGCCUUUAGUGUGCUUUGUGACCUUGGACAAGUCAUUUUCCUCUCCGGGCCUCAAUCUCUUCAUCUGUAAAAUGAAGGGUUGCAUGGGAUCAUCCAAUCCUGCAAGAAGAUAUCCUAGGGGUAGCUAAAUGGCACAGGGGAUAGAGCACCAGGUCUGGAGUCAGGAGGACUUGGGUUCAAAUCAGGCCUCAAACGCUUUUUAGCUUUGUGACUCCCGGCAAGUCAUUAACUCUGCCUGUCUAGCCUUUGUCCUUCUCUCUUAGUGUUACUAAGAAAGAAAAGUAAGGGUUAAAAAAAGAUGGAGAUUAUCUCCCCUCCUCUUUCUGAUGGUGAAAUGCCCAACUUGGGAAAUAGUCCUGCCUACAAGUAACACAGGUAAUUGGAAUUUGAACCCAAGCUCUUGGAAUCCAAAUCCAAUGUCCUUUCCACUCUUAUUAAUGAUGGGUUUUUAGAGAUGGAGGAACUCUUUGAGAGCAUGGAGCCUCAGCUCUUCGUUUUUUAUAGGCCCAGAGAGGGGAAUGACUUGUCCACAGUCACACAGCUAGUUAUGGACAGAAGCAGAAUGAAAACCUGGGUCUUCAAGCUCCGCUCCCAGUGUUUCUUGCCAGUCUGUUUUAUCCUGUUCCCACUCUCCUUCUUCCCUCUCCUCCCUCCUCCCUCCUGUCGCUCUCCCCCUCUUCCCCUACUCCAGCAGUGUUUAUUCAGCUGGUUGCUGUUUAAGGAUGCCUGGCUUUCUGUUCUUAGGUUUCUGUCCUUGGCUCAGUUCUCCUCGCAGCCUUGGUGUUCGGGUUGUUUUUUUAACCUUGGGCAUCUGCACGGUUGCUUUGUACAUUUUCCAUGACUUCUUCCAAGGCUGGAAGGUUGGUCCCAACAAGAAGUGCUAUUUAUUGAGCAUCUCCCAAGUGCUAGAUAGAAAGCCCUGGGUGUCCCUGUAGUCACGAUUCAGAUGGGGGCUGGGGAGGUCCAAGGGAUAUUGUCUAGGAUAAGGAGGGAAUUGGUCAGGAGGUAGGUAAGCAGGUGCUUCCACAUCUGGUUCGGUUCUGCAAACACCCUCCCCUCCCCUUGACCCUUCGCCCUUCCACAUCUCACAGCUGGUAUGCUAGUAAGGGUUGGAAAAACUGGCCCUCCUCCCCAACAUCUGUGUAGUGGGGCAUCUGAAUUCCAAUCCGGCCUCUGAUACGAUACUUGCCCGCCGUGCCACCCUGGGCAAGUCACGUCACCCCGUCUGCUUAGCCCUUGCUGCUCUUCGGCCGUAGUACUGUUACUAAGGCAGAAAGCAAAGGGCUUUUUUAUAGGAAAAAAUGCAGGCACAGCUCCACUUUGAUGGCCAGUCUGCACCGCUGACAUUUUCUCCAUCACUUUCUUAUGUCUGGAUAAUUGUCGGUGGGUCAUCCUGACCCAGGCCUCUCCUCAGUCCAAUCUGCCCAUUUCCCUAAAAUACAAGUCUGAUCAUGCCACCCUCUCUACUCAGUUGACUCCUGUGACUCCCUACGCCCCCGGGAGCAAAUACAAACUACCCUCCAGAACCUCGCUCCCACGUCCACUUCUGGUCUUCUUACGUAGCUCCCGCCUCCACUUCCGGUCUUCUUACACUGCUCCCGCCUCCACUUCCGGUCUUCUUACACCUUCCUCCCUGAGCUGGUCUCUACUCCAGGGCACUGCCGGAACCCUGGCUCCUUUACAAACAAGACACUCCAUUUCUCAGCUGUGGGCAUUUUCUCUGGCUCUCCCUCCUUCACGCCGAUUCCUGACUGGCUUGGCUUUCUGGAAGUCUCACCUACGGGAAGCUCUCCCUCUUUCCGUUAUCUUACUUCUUAUGUAUUUGCUUCUCGGCUCCCCGAUUAGAUUGGAAGCCCCUUUGGGGCAAGGACUAUCUUUUGCCUCUUUUCGUAUCACAGAUGCUGAACACAGUGCUGGCACAUAGUAGGUACUUAACACGGGCUUAUUGAGCUGAAUUAGUCCUCAAGAUCCUUCUUUAGGGAGCACAGAAGUCAAGAUAGUAACUAGAUAACUAGAGCUCCAAACCCUUUGGGAUGGGACUUUUUCCUCACUGGAGGAGUUGAAUGUCUAAAUGAUUGGCAAAAUAAAAGAUCGCUCCCCGAUUUGUGACA